This 662-nucleotide long non-coding RNA is filed under the name Homo sapiens (human). RNAcentral's name for it is "HSALNT0318364". The record is from RNAcentral. Lineage: Eukaryota; Metazoa; Chordata; Mammalia; Primates; Hominidae.
AUUUGAGUAAUGGGCUAAUAGAAAACCAAGUUAUGGAUCUCCAGGACCAGAACAAUAAUAAGGCCAUAAUGAGAUUGUUAUCAAUCUGGCCUCAGUUCUGGUUUCUUCUCUCAGAGGAACAUCAUGAUGAAAAUAGGAAAACUCAUCAAUCAUAAAAAUCACACAAGAGCCAAGCCAACUGGCUUAAAUAUACACACAACAUUGCAGAUUUAUUCCACUCUGUUAAGCUUCCUGAAUCACAGAGAAGUUGUCAGAAAGAUUUUAGCCUCCGCUAUAGGAAGUCCUGCCCACCUUCUCCAGAUCUCUGUUCUCAUAGUCCAUCCUCUGGUUCCAGGUGGAAGAAUUCUAAAAUCACACAAGAAAAUGUAAGAUAUCUUCCUCGAAUAUCAACAGAGAAGAACAGCAGCCACGUGGAUAAGGCAGAGUUUGGGAAAUCCUGGAUUCCCUUAUCAUAAAGCAUCUUACAGUAACCUCAGAAAUGCAGAAGUUACUUGUAAUGGUGCUGUAGACACUGUACGAGAAAGUUUCACCUUUAUGAUCUAAUUUAAUUCUCACAAAAACCCUGUUAGGUAGGGUGUUAUUAUUUAAAUUUAAAUCAGAGGAAAAUGUAACAGGAAUUCUGCAACUUACAGUCAAAGAGAUAAUAAACAGGAGCAUCUGUG